UUGGAUAACCGUGGUAAUUCUAGAGCUAAUACAUGCUAAAAAUCCCGACUUCGGAAGGGAUGUAUUUAUUAGAUUAAAAACCAAUGCCCUCUGGGCUCCUUGGUGAUUCAUGAUAACUCUUCGAAUCGCACGGCCUUGCGCCGGCGAUGGUUCAUUCAAAUUUCUUCCCUAUCAACUUUCGAUGUUUGGGUCUUGGCCAAACAUGGUCGCAACGGGUAACGGAGGGUUAGGGCUCGACCCCGGAGAAGGAGCCUGAGAAACGGCUACUACAUCCAAGGAAGGCAGCAGGCGCGCAAAUUACCCAAUCCCGAUUCGGGGAGGUAGUGACAAUAAAUACUGAUACAGGGCUCUUUUGGGUCUUGUAAUUGGAAUGAGUACAAUUUAAAUCCCUUAACGAGGAACAAUUGGAGGGCAAGUCUGGUGCCAGCAGCCGCGGUAAUUCCAGCUCCAAUAGCGUAUAUUAAAGUUGUUGUGGUUAAAAAGCUCGUAGUUGAACCUUGGGCCUGGCUGGCCGGUCCGCCUCACCGCGUGUACUGGUCCGGCCGGGCCUUUCCCUCUGUGGAACCCCAUGCCCUUCACUGGGUGUGGCGGGGAAACAGGACUUUUACUUUGAAAAAAUUAGAGUGCUCCAGGCAGGCCUAUGCUCGAAUACAUUAGCAUGGAAUAAUGAAAUAGGACGCGUGGUUCUAUUUUGUUGGUUUCUAGGACCGCCGUAAUGAUUAAUAGGGACAGUCGGGGGCAUCAGUAUUCAAUUGUCAGAGGUGAAAUUCUUGGAUUUAUUGAAGACUAACUACUGCGAAAGCAUUUGCCAAGGAUGUUUUCAUUAAUCAGGAACGAAAGUUAGGGGAUCGAAGACGAUCAGAUACCGUCGUAGUCUUAACAUAAACUAUGCCGACUAGGGAUCGGACGAUGUUAUUUUUUG
RNAcentral lists this ribosomal RNA (922 nucleotides) under Cordyceps cf. pruinosa EFCC 5693. RNAcentral's name for it is "SSU rRNA". It matches the Rfam family "Eukaryotic small subunit ribosomal RNA", at positions 139 to 1072 of the family's 1831-position model. Lineage: Eukaryota; Fungi; Ascomycota; Sordariomycetes; Hypocreales; Cordycipitaceae. The record is from RNAcentral.